RNAcentral lists this non-coding RNA (169 nucleotides) under Desulfatibacillum alkenivorans. Lineage: Bacteria; Pseudomonadati; Thermodesulfobacteriota; Desulfobacteria; Desulfobacterales; Desulfatibacillaceae. The record is from RNAcentral. RNAcentral also lists the same sequence under 1 other name.
AAAUUUGUGCGUUAAAUCGGCAAUCCAGGGAAUCCCGUGAGAACCGGGAGCGGUCCCGCCGCUGUAAACGGAGACAAAGCCGCUUUGGGCCACUGUCAUUCAUGACGGGAAGGCGCGGCUGCGAAAGACCCGUGAGCCAGAAUACCUGAGCCGAUUUUCUAACGGCAGC